GAUGAAGAACGCAGCGAAAUGCGAUAAGUAAUGUGAAUUGCAGAAUUCAGUGAAUCAUCGAAUGUUUGAACGCACAUUGCGCCCGCCAGUAUUCUGGCGGGCAUGCCUGUUCGAGCGUCAUUACAACCCUCAGGCCCCCGGGCCUGGCGUUGGGGAUCGGCGGAGCCCCCCGUGGGCACACGCCGUCCCCCAAAUGCAGUGGCGGUCCCGCCGCAGCUUCCAUCGCGUAGUAGCUAACACCUCCCGACUGGAGAGCGGCGCGGCCACGCCGUAAAACACCCAACUCUUCUGAAGUUGACCUCGAAUCAGGUAGGAAUACCCGCUGAACUUAAGCAUAUCAAUAAGCGGAGGA
This 352-nucleotide unclassified non-coding RNA is filed under the name soil metagenome. RNAcentral describes it as "partial contains 5.8S ribosomal RNA, internal transcribed spacer 2, and large subunit ribosomal RNA". The stretch from base 1 to 120 matches the Rfam family "5.8S ribosomal RNA", at positions 35 to 154 of the family's 154-position model. The record is from RNAcentral.